Molecule: ribosomal RNA, 490 nt
Filed under: uncultured bacterium
Lineage: Bacteria
Description: partial 16S ribosomal RNA
Rfam family: Bacterial small subunit ribosomal RNA
Source: RNAcentral
GAUGAACGCUAGCUACAGGCUUAACACAUGCAAGUCGCGGGGCAGCAUGGGGGUUGCUUGCAAUCCCCGAUGGCGACCGGCGCACGGGUGAGUAACGCGUAUCCAACCUGCCCUUCACCACGGGAUAACCCGGCGAAAGUCGGACUAAUACCGUAUGUUGUCCAUUGACGGCAUCCGAUUUGGACGAAAGGCUUGGCGGUGAGGGGUGGGGAUGCGUCCGAUUAGCCAGACGGCGGGGUAACGGCCCACCGUGGCUACGAUCGGUAGGGGGUCUGAGAGGAAGGUCCCCCACACUGGAACUGAGCCACGGUCCAGACUCCUACGGGAGGCAGCAGUGAGGAAUAUUGGUCAAUGGGCGUAAGCCUGAACCAGCCAAGUAGCGUGCAGGAUGACGGCCCUAUGGGUUGUAAACUGCUUUUAUGCGGGGAUAAAGUGGCCCACGUGUGGGCUUUUGCAGGUACCGCAUGAAUAAGGACCGGCUAAUUCCGUA